AAUUAUUAUUAGAUUUUUAAAUAAUUAUUCACGAAAUAAAUUGAGCUAAAUUUUUGGUAUUUUUGGAAAUUAUAACUAUAUGUUACAAAAUAUAUUAACUAAAUAGAUUUAGGGGUGAAAGGCCUAUCAAAUUUUAUGAUAUCUUGAAGUAUAUAAAAUAUAUCAAGUAUUUUCUAAUUCAACUAUUGAAUGUUUAGGUUCAAUAGUAACAUUAUAUUUUUUUAAAAAUUGUUCAAUUUUUUUAAGUAAAAUUGAGUUAGAGCAUAAAAUAUACAUCAAAUUUUUAUUAUAUGAAUAUAAAUAUACUACGGUUAUUAAUAAAUAUAAUCAUAUAUAAUGUAAUUAUUAGUAAUAGUUUAUUAAACUAUAUAAAGGAAUUCGGCAAGAAAAUUUUUCACCUGUUUAUCAAAAACAUAGCUUAUUGAAUAUCAUAAUAAGUAACCCCUGCUCAAUGGAAAUCUAAAUAGCCGCAGUACCUUGACUGUGCAAAGGUAGCAUAAUCAAUUGGCUUAUAAUUGAAGUCUGGAAUGAAUGGGUAAUCUGGAAAAUAACUGUCUUUAUUUGUAGUAUUUUGAAUUUACUUAUAAAGUGAAAAUACUUUAAUAUAAAUAUAAGACGAGAAGACCCUAGAAAUUUUUUGUUAAUAACUUUUGUUGGGGCGACAGGGUAACAUAUAAACUUACUUACAUUUAUAUAAAUCUUAUAAGAUACGUAACUAAAUUACUCUAGGGAUAACAGCAUAAUAUAUAAAAGUUUAUGACCUCGAUGUUGGACUAGGUAAUUAAAUAUUUAAAAGAUAUCUUAAUUUGCUCUGUUCGAGCAGUACCACCUACAU
This 835-nucleotide ribosomal RNA is filed under the name Perforatella incarnata. Its description in RNAcentral is "Monachoides incarnatus partial large subunit ribosomal RNA". The record is from RNAcentral. Lineage: Eukaryota; Metazoa; Mollusca; Gastropoda; Stylommatophora; Hygromiidae.